RNAcentral lists this ribosomal RNA (433 nucleotides) under uncultured bacterium. Its description in RNAcentral is "partial 16S ribosomal RNA". It matches the Rfam family "Bacterial small subunit ribosomal RNA", at positions 29 to 507 of the family's 1533-position model. The record is from RNAcentral.
AACGAACGCUGGCGGCAGGCCUAACACAUGCAAGUCGAGCGCGCCCUUCGGGGUGAGCGGCGGACGGGGGAGUAACGCGUGGGAACGUGCCCUUUUCUACGGAAUAGCCUCGGGAAACUGAGAGUAAUACCGUAUACGCCCUUUGGGGGAAAGAUUUAUCGGAAAAGGAUCGGCCCGCGUUGGAUUAGGUAGUUGGUGGGGUAAUGGCCUACCAAGCCGACGAUCCAUAGCUGGUUUGAGAGGAUGAUCAGCCACACUGGGACUGUGACACGGCCCAGACUCCUACGGGAGGCAGCAGUGGGGAAUCUUAGACAAUGGGGGCAACCCUGAUCUAGCCAUGCCGCGUGAGUGAUGAAGGCCUUAGGGUAGUAAAGCUCUUUCAGCUGGGAAGAUAAUGACGGUACCAGCAGAAGAAGCCCCGGCUAACUCCGUG